This 253-nucleotide ribosomal RNA is filed under the name uncultured bacterium. RNAcentral's name for it is "partial 16S ribosomal RNA". It matches the Rfam family "Bacterial small subunit ribosomal RNA", at positions 524 to 776 of the family's 1533-position model. The record is from RNAcentral.
UACAGAGGUCUCGAGCGUUGUUCGGAUUCAUUGGGCGUAAAGGGCGCGUAGGCUGCGGGGCAAGUCGGGUGUGAAAUCUCAGAGCUCAACUCUGAAACUGCACUCGAUACUGCUUUGCUUGAGGACUGGAGAGGAGAUUGGAAUUCAUGGUGUAGCAGUGAAAUGCGUAGAGAUCAUGAGGAAGACCAGUGGCGAAGGCGGGUCUCUGGACAGUUCCUGACACUGAGACACGAAGGCCAGGGGAGCAAACGGG